GACGAACGCUGGCGGCGUGCCUAAUACAUGCAAGUUGAGCGAUGAAGAUUGGUGCUUGCACCAAUUUGAAGAGCAGCGAACGGGUGAGUAACGCGUGGGGAAUCUGCCUUUGAGCGGGGGACAACAUUUGGAAACGAAUGCUAAUACCGCAUAACAACUUUAAACAUAAGUUUUAAGUUUGAAAGAUGCAAUUGCAUCACUCAAAGAUGAUCCCGCGUUGUAUUAGCUAGUUGGUGAGGUAAAGGCUCACCAAGGCGAUGAUACAUAGCCGACCUGAGAGGGUGAUCGGCCACAUUGGGAAUGAGACACGGCCCAAACUCCUACGGGAGGCAGCAGUAGGGAAUCUUCGGCAAUGGACGAAAGUCUGACCGAGCAACGCCGCGUGAGUGAAGAAGGUUUUCGGAUCGUAAAACUCUGUUGGUAGAGAAGAACGUUGGUGAGAGUGGAAAGCUCAUCAAGUGACGGUAACUACCCAGAAAGGGACGGCUAACUACGUG
Molecule: ribosomal RNA, 497 nt
Filed under: uncultured bacterium
Lineage: Bacteria
Description: partial 16S ribosomal RNA
Rfam family: Bacterial small subunit ribosomal RNA
Source: RNAcentral